AGAACGAACGCUGGCGGCAGGCUUAACACAUGCAAGUCGAGCGCCCCGCAAGGGGAGCGGCAGACGGGUGAGUAACGCGUGGGAACAUACCCUCCGGUUCGGAAUAGCUCAGGGAAACUUGGAUUAAUACCGGAUACGGCCUAGCGGCGAAAGAUUCAUCGCCGGAGGAUUGGCCCGCGUCUGAUUAGCUAGUUGGUGGGGUAAUGGCCCACCAAGGCGACGAUCAGUAGCUGGUCUGAGAGGAUGAUCAGCCACAUUGGGACUGAGACACGGCCCAAACUCCUACGGGAGGCAGCAGUGGGAAUAUGGACAAUGGGCGCAAGCCUGAUCCAGCCAUGCCGCGUGAGUGAUGACGGCCUUAGGGUUGUAAAGCUCUUUCGCUAGGGACGAUAAUGACGGUACCUAGACAAGAACGCCCCGGCUAACUUCGUCGCCAGCAGCCGC
Molecule: ribosomal RNA, 444 nt
Filed under: uncultured bacterium
Lineage: Bacteria
Description: SSU rRNA
Rfam family: Bacterial small subunit ribosomal RNA
Source: RNAcentral